CCGAUUAGCUAGUUGGUGAGGUAAUGGCUCACCAAGGCAACGAUCGGUAGGGGGUCUGAGAGGAUGAUCCCCCACACUGGUACUGAGACACGGACCAGACUCCUACGGGAGGCAGCAGUAAGGAAUAUUGGACAAUGGGCGCAAGCCUGAUCCAGCCAUGCCGCGUGAAGGAUGAAGGCCCUAUGGGUUGUAAACUUCUUUUGGUAGUGAAAAAACCCCUCGAUGCGUCGGGGGCUGAUGGUACCUACAGAAUAAGGAUCGGCUAACUCCGUGCCAGCAGCCGCGGUAAUACGGAGGAUCCAAGCGUUAUCCGGAUUUAUUGGGUUUAAAGGGUGCGUAGGCGGAUAAAUAAGUCAGUGGUGAAAGCCUGCAGCUUAACUGCAGAACUGCCAUUGAUACUGUUUAUCUUGAAUAUAGUUGAGGUGGGCGGAAUAUGACAUGUAGUGGUGAAAUACUUAGAUAUGUCAUAGAACACCGAUUGCGAAGGCAGCUCACUAAGCUAUGAUUGACGCUGAGGCACGAAAGCGUGGGUAGCAAACAGGAUUAGAUACCCUGGUAGUCCACGCCCUAAACUAUGAUCACUCGAUGUUGGCGAUACACAGUCAGCGUCUAAGGGAAACCAUUAAGUGAUCCACCUGGGGAGUACGACCGCAAGGUUGAAACUCAAAGGAAUUGACGGGGGCCCGCACAAGCGGAGGAGCAUGUGGUUUAAUUCGAUGAUACGCGAGGAACCUUACCUGGGCUUGAAAGUUAGUGAAU
RNAcentral lists this ribosomal RNA (759 nucleotides) under uncultured Bacteroidota bacterium. RNAcentral's name for it is "bacterial SSU rRNA". It matches the Rfam family "Bacterial small subunit ribosomal RNA", at positions 237 to 996 of the family's 1533-position model. Lineage: Bacteria; Pseudomonadati; Bacteroidota. The record is from RNAcentral.